UGGGGUGUAGCCAAGUGGUAAGGCAGCGGGUUUUGAUCCCGCCACGCGUUGGUUCGAAUCCAGCCACCCCAGCCA
RNAcentral lists this transfer RNA (75 nucleotides) under Allohahella marinimesophila. RNAcentral's name for it is "tRNA-Gln". It matches the Rfam family "tRNA". From Rfam's summary of the family: Transfer RNA (tRNA) molecules are approximately 80 nucleotides in length. Their secondary structure includes four short double-helical elements and three loops (D, anti-codon, and T loops). Further hydrogen bonds mediate the characteristic L-shaped molecular structure. tRNAs have two regions of fundamental functional importance: the anti-codon, which is responsible for specific mRNA codon recognition, and the 3' end, to which the tRNAs corresponding amino acid is attached (by aminoacyl-tRNA synthetases). tRNAs cope with the degeneracy of the genetic code in two manners: having more than one tRNA (with a specific anti-codon) for a particular amino acid; and 'wobble' base-pairing, i.e. permitting non-standard base-pairing at the 3rd anti-codon position. The record is from RNAcentral. RNAcentral also lists the same sequence under 2 other names. Lineage: Bacteria; Pseudomonadati; Pseudomonadota; Gammaproteobacteria; Oceanospirillales; Hahellaceae.